This 489-nucleotide ribosomal RNA is filed under the name Triticum aestivum (bread wheat). RNAcentral's name for it is "partial small subunit ribosomal RNA". Lineage: Eukaryota; Viridiplantae; Streptophyta; Magnoliopsida; Poales; Poaceae. The record is from RNAcentral.
AUGAAUUAUGCUUAUGGAGAUGAACUUCCUAUAGUUCCUUAUGUUAAACAUGACAUUUUUGCUAGUGCACCCACGCAUGAUAGUCCUAUUAUCUUUUUGAAUUCUCCAAACUACACUAUAUCAGAGAAGUUUGCGUUUAUUAAGGAUUAUAUUGAUGGGUUGCCUUUUACUACUACACAUGAUGAUUUUGAUGAAUAUAAUAUGCAUGUGCUUGCUGCUCCUAGUUGCAAUUAUUAUGAGAGAGGAACUACAUCUCCACCUCUUUAUGUUUCCAACACGAAAAAAUUGCAAGAGACUGUUUAUACUACGCGUUGGCCUUUACUAUGUGUGCAUGAAUUGUUAUUUUAUGACAUGCCAAUGCAUAGGAAGAGAGUUAGGCUUCGUCUUUGUUUGAUAUAUGUUGCUUUGUUCUCACUACUAAAUGACAAAUCAUUGCUAAUUAAAAUUGGCUUUGAUAUACCUUGGGAUCCGGGUGGAUUCACUACUUGA